GGGGAAUAUUGGACAAUGGGCGCAAGCCUGAUCCAGCCAUACCGCGUGGGUGAAGAAGGCCUUCGGGUUGUAAAGCCCUUUUGUUGGGAAAGAAAUCCUAUCGGUUAAUAACCGGUGGGGAUGACGGUACCCAAAGAAUAAGCACCGGCUAACUUCGUGCCAGCAGCCGCGGUAAUACGAAGGGUGCAAGCGUUACUCGGAAUUACUGGGCGUAAAGCGUGCGUAGGUGGUGGUUUAAGUCUGCUGUGAAAGCCCUGGGCUCAACCUGGGAAUUGCAGUGGAUACUGGAUCGCUAGAGUGUGGUAGAGGGAGGCGGAAUUUCUGGUGUAGCAGUGAAAUGCGUAGAGAUCAGAAGGAACAUCCGUGGCGAAGGCGGCAUCCUGGGCCAACACUGACACUGAGGCACGAAAGCGUGGGGAGCAAAC
This 425-nucleotide ribosomal RNA is filed under the name uncultured bacterium. Its description in RNAcentral is "bacterial SSU rRNA". It matches the Rfam family "Bacterial small subunit ribosomal RNA", at positions 356 to 773 of the family's 1533-position model. The record is from RNAcentral.